UACGAAGGGGGCUAGCGUUGUUCGGAAUCACUGGGCGUAAAGGGCGCGUAGGCGGCUUGAUAAGUCGGGGGUGAAAGCCUGUGGCUCAACCACAGAAUUGCCUUCGAUACUGUCUGGCUUGAGUGCGGGAGAGGGAUGUGGAAUUCCAGGUGUAGCGGUGAAAUGCGUAGAUAUCUGGAGGAACACCGGUGGCGAAGGCGACAUCCUGGACCGGUAUUGACGCUGAGGCGCGAAAGCCAGGGGAGCAAACGGG
This 253-nucleotide ribosomal RNA is filed under the name uncultured bacterium. RNAcentral's name for it is "partial 16S ribosomal RNA". It matches the Rfam family "Bacterial small subunit ribosomal RNA", at positions 524 to 776 of the family's 1533-position model. The record is from RNAcentral.